AAAGAAAGAAAUAUUAAAAAAUAAAAAUAUGCUAAAAAGUAAGCUUUGAAAUUUUUAGUAUAUUACAAAUUAAAAGAAAAGUUAAAAAAGUAAUAAUAAUUAUAAUAAUAAUCCCUCCAUUUCAAAAUAUUAGAUAAUUUAUAAUUAUUAUUAUUAUAGUUAUAAUAAUAACAAAUAUAAAUAUAAUAAUUAUAAUUAUAAUAUUUUAUUAUUAAUUAAUUUAAUUAUUUGUUAUGUAUAUUAAUUUGAUUUAUAUUUUAUUUAACCCCCAAUUAUGGCCAUGUCAAUCGGUAAUACAAAAGUCAUCGGUGAUCGCCAAAACAAGUUCAAAUCUAAACGAAGUGCAUAAUCUAACCAAUCAACCAAGAAAUCAAAUGAAGAAUACAACAAAUAUGAAAAUGAUAUCUGACAAUAACACGAAAAGUAGGAUGUAUCAUACACACAUCUCAUAUCCAUCGAAAAACCAGACCGCCAACGACCCAAACACCAUUGAACAAAUAGCAAUAACCAAUUUAGGAAUUAAAAACAUGUUAAAAUGAACAAUGGAAAUCAUAACAGAUCAACCCAACAAUUUGAUUCCAAAACAAUAAACAUCAAUAAAAAAAGAAAUCAGAAAUAGGGACAAGUAGUCAUUAAACCCCCAAUAGCCCAACCCGAUUCAAAAUACAAUCGAAAUAGAAGGAAUUAGGUGAAUCAAGACCAAUAUUAGAUGAAACACCAUGAAAACAUCCUAAUCUGAGCAUUACAUAGAAAGCAAAGAUUAGCCAUAACACCCAGACCCAGAUUGGAAAGCGCUCAGAUAAAAGCUCCUAUCGGCGCCUAAUAGAACUGGCACAUAACAUAUCUUGAGCUGAUUUGUGAAGAACAAAAUCAAAUCCGAGCGAAUCAACUUCUAAAACUCCACUCCUACAAAUUUGAAACCCUCGAAGCCAAGCCCAUACACCCCCACUUCAUAUCAUAACUCCCAAGUCCAAACUCACUAAGAGCAUACCCCCUACUAAUCUACACAAUAUAAGCCCAUGAUCUAAAGCCCCGGACUUUGCAAACAUAGAUCGGUAGAUAUUUGCGAGAAGGAUCACAUUUUUGUCACAGAAAAAGUACAAACAGAUCCAAGUAAUAAUAAAGUGAAAGAAAGGAAAAGGAGUGAUUGUUUAAUUUGUUUAAUUAUUUAUUAUAAAAUCAAGUAUAAUUUAAUUUAAUUAAUUAUUCAACUUACCUUCUCUCUUUAUCAAUAUAAAAAUGAGAGAAAAUAGAAAGUAGACAUACGAUUAUAUUUUACACAUUUUCAUUGGUAAGUAAUAUAUGGGUAUUGCUCUUUGUGCAUUUUUUUUUUGUGUACAAUUUGUGCGCCUAAUAGAAAAUGUGUAAUACAUUUAAUUGUAGGUCCUACUUCCUUUUUUUUAUACUCCCUCCCC
Molecule: long non-coding RNA, 1415 nt
Filed under: Panax ginseng (ginseng)
Lineage: Eukaryota; Viridiplantae; Streptophyta; Magnoliopsida; Apiales; Araliaceae
Description: long non-coding RNA (PGIN_LNC006990)
Source: RNAcentral